This 460-nucleotide ribosomal RNA is filed under the name uncultured bacterium. Its description in RNAcentral is "partial 16S ribosomal RNA". It matches the Rfam family "Bacterial small subunit ribosomal RNA", at positions 338 to 795 of the family's 1533-position model. The record is from RNAcentral.
CCUACGGGAGGCAGCAGUGAGGAAUAUUGGUCAAUGGGCGCUAGCCUGAACCAGCCAAGUAGCGUGAAGGAUGACUGCCCUAUGGGUUGUAAACUUCUUUUAUAUGGGAAUAAAGUGCAGUAUGUAUACUGCUUUGCAUGUACCUUAUGAAUAAGGAUCGGCUAACUCCGUGCCAGCAGCCGCGGUAAUACGGAGGAUCCGAGCGUUAUCUGGAUUUAUUGUGUUUAAAGCGCUCGUAGGCGGUACGUCAAGUCAAGGGUGAAAUCCCCGCGCUCAACGUGGGAACUGCCGUUGAAACUGGCAGACUGGAGUGUGUGCGAGGAUAGUGGAAUUCGAGGUGUAGGAGUGAAAUCCGUAGAUAUCUUGAGGAACUUCGGUGGCGAAGGCGACUAUCUGGCACAUAACUGACGCUGAGGAGCGAAAGCGUGGGUAGCAAACAGGAUUAGAUACCCUAGUAGUC